Cinara cedri is the source of this 234-nucleotide non-coding RNA. The record is from the annotation of a GenBank genome assembly. NCBI's taxonomy places the organism in Eukaryota, Metazoa, Arthropoda, Insecta, Hemiptera, Aphididae.
GUUCAAACCUACCUAUACCUAUAUAUAAUAUCAUAUUAGUAUUUUAACGGUGUCGGUGAUCCAGAACCGAGAGUACGAAAAGUUUAUGAAACAUAUUAUUAUCACGUUACGUUCACCACACGCGUUUUAAUGUAUACGUUGACAGUUGAGAAGAAAAAAACGAAAAAAAAACUUUCCUACCAAAUAUAAAGGGUAUAGUGUAUACACACCGUCGACGACGAGACAAUAUGUUUA